RNAcentral lists this transfer-messenger RNA (359 nucleotides) under Campylobacter jejuni. It matches the Rfam family "transfer-messenger RNA". Rfam says of the family: Bacterial tmRNA, also known as 10Sa RNA or SsrA, is named for its dual tRNA and mRNA-like properties. Its role is to liberate the mRNA from a stalled ribosome. To accomplish this part of the tmRNA is used as a reading frame that ends in a translation stop signal. The record is from RNAcentral. Lineage: Bacteria; Pseudomonadati; Campylobacterota; Epsilonproteobacteria; Campylobacterales; Campylobacteraceae.
GGGAGCGACUUGGCUUCGACAGGAGUAAGUCUGCUUAGAUGGCAUGUCGCUUUGGGCAAAGCGUAAAAAGCCCAAAUAAAAUUAAACGCAAACAACGUUAAAUUCGCUCCUGCUUACGCUAAAGCUGCGUAAGUUCAGUUGAGCCUGAAAUUUAAGUCAUGCUAUCUAGCUUAAUUUUCGGUCAUUUUUGAUAGUGUAGCCUUGCGUUUGACAAGCGUUGAGGUGAAAUAAAGUCUUAGCCUUGCUUUUGAGUUUUGGAAGAUGAGCGAAGUAGGGUGAAGUAGUCAUCUUUGCUAAGCAUGUAGAGGUCUUUGUGGGAUUAUUUUUGGACAGGGGUUCGAUUCCCCUCGCUUCCACCA